GGAGUAGCCAAUUAACCUAAUGUGCAUGUACCGUGGGAGGAAGCCAGAGUACCCAGAGAAAACCCACGCAGGCACAGGGAGAACAUGCAAACUCCGCACAGAACUCGGCCCAGAAUGGGAUAUGCUGACAGUUUGUAUUAUACUGCACCCGAGCCAGAGAUGAAAGUUAACACAUGGUACUACAAAAUGUCACUCGGAGCUUUCACGUGACGUGUGACUGUCUUUGCUGUCAGCAAACACUCAUGCGAACACUGAAAUCAUCAUCUGUUGCUGGGAUUGUAGGAGGUUCCCAGCAACAGCCAAAAGAAAAUUGGGAAUGCAGACUUUGUCAACCUUCUGGUUGUUCCAAAGUUGAGGUUAAAAACUAAAGGUGACUGGGCCCUCAGCUUUGGAACGAUCUUCCUGAGGAGCUAAGGCUUACAAG
Molecule: long non-coding RNA, 424 nt
Organism: Scatophagus argus
Lineage: Eukaryota; Metazoa; Chordata; Actinopteri; Scatophagidae
Exons: 3
Source: RefSeq, a predicted model, not a curated record